AGAGUUUGAUCAUGGCUCAGGAUGAACGCUGGCGGCGUGCUUAACACAUGCAAGUCGAACGAUGAAGCUAAAGCUUGCUUUGGUGGAUUAGUGGCGAACGGGUGAGUAACACGUGAGUAACCUGCCCCCGACUCUGGGAUAAGCCUGGGAAACUGGGUCUAAUACCGGAUAUGACCUCCUACCGCAUGGUGGGUGGUGGAAAGAUUUAUCGGUGGGGGAUGGACUCGCGGCCUAUCAGCUUGUUGGUGAGGUAAUGGCUCACCAAGGCGACGACGGGUAGCCGGCCUGAGAGGGUGACCGGCCACACUGGGACUGAGACACGGCCCAGACUCCUACGGGAGGCAGCAGUGGGGAAUAUUGCACAAUGGGCGCAAGCCUGAUGCGGCGACGCCGCGUGAGGGAUGACGGCCUUCGGGUUGUAAACCUCUUUCAGUAGGGAAGAAACGAGAGUGACGGUACCUGCAGAAGAAGCGCCGGCUAACUACGUGCCAGCAGCCGCGGUAAUA
RNAcentral lists this ribosomal RNA (506 nucleotides) under uncultured Arthrobacter sp. Its description in RNAcentral is "bacterial SSU rRNA". It matches the Rfam family "Bacterial small subunit ribosomal RNA", at positions 8 to 525 of the family's 1533-position model. Lineage: Bacteria; Bacillati; Actinomycetota; Actinomycetes; Micrococcales; Micrococcaceae. The record is from RNAcentral.